Molecule: ribosomal RNA, 326 nt
Filed under: uncultured eukaryote
Lineage: Eukaryota
Description: partial 18S ribosomal RNA
Rfam family: Eukaryotic small subunit ribosomal RNA
Source: RNAcentral
CCCUUAGAUGUUCUGGGCCGCACGCGCGCUACACUGACGAAUGCAACGAGCUUAUAACCUUGGCCGAAAGGUCUGGGUAAUCUCCAAAUUUCGUCGUGAUGGGGAUAGAUUAUUGCAAUUAUUAAUCUUCAACGAGGAAUGCCUAGUAAGCGCAAGUCAUCAGCUUGCGUUGAUUACGUCCCUGCCCUUUGUACACACCGCCCGUCGCUCCUACCGAUUGGGUGUGCUGGUGAAAUGUUCGGAUCGGCCGUUUGUCGCGGUUUCCGCGUCAUGUGGCUGAGAAGUUCAUUAAACCCUCCCACCUAGAGGAAGGAGAAGUCGUAACA